CUAUUUGUGCCUUGAAACCCCAAACCUCAUCCAUCUAUUUUGAUUUUCCAAACUUUAAUAUUUUGUUUCCAUCAAAUUACAAACACCAAAUCCCUCCCAAAUUAAAAGAGAAAUACUAAAAACACUCUCUCAAACUUGUAGGUUUUUCGGAGUUUCAAGUCAAACCUUUUUUUCUCUCAUCGAAGGUAAUGAUUUGUUUUCCUAUUACUUUUUGAUGAUAUCUAGCCUUUUAAAUUGAGUUUUUUCUUAAUUGAAUCUAAAGUUUUGAACAAAUGCCAAAAAGUGGGUCAUUAAUGGUGAAAUUCAAGAUUUUGAUUGAAAACUAUGUGUCAAAGUGUUUUUCAACUUGUUUUGAUGUGAUUAGAAGUUUCAUUGAAGAAUUCUAAGGUUUUAUUGAGUUUUUGUGAAAAUUGUCAUUGUACGUCGAAAUUUCGGAACCAUGAAUUGGUCUUAGAUGUAUAAUUAGGUGAUUGAAAUCAGUUUUAUGCAAAGGGAAUGAGUAGAUGUUGAGAUUUUUGCUUUUCAGCUAAGUUAGUCGAAAUUUCAGUUUCAUGAGAAUCUAAUUUAGACUUGUGUUUUUGGUUGAUUUAGGUGAGUCUAUGGCUGAAUUUUAAUUGUGUUUAUUGUGUUAUUUACUUAAUUUGGUUAAGCUCCAGAGUCGUUAGGACCUUCUUCGAGUAAAGCGAAACGCAAGAAAAAACUAGUUGAUGCUUCUGAUGACAGGGAGAAAGCGCGAAAGGUGAGUGUUUUGAAUCGCUGCUUGUAAACACGAUUCAUAGUGUUAUUUGGGAUCUUAAGAGUAGCCUAAACCCCUAGUCUAAGUUCCAAGUGUAAGCUUUCUUAUACCCCUUGUCUAAUUUGCAAAAAUUUGACUAUGUGUUGUGGAUUGAAAAUUAAGAUGUGAUAAUGGGACAUGUGAAAUAUGCUUGUAAUUGCAAUUGUGAAUGUGUUAAUUGUGGCUAUGUUAUACAUGCUGAAUGACAGUGACGAUGUUGUGCUUAUAAUGUGAAUAUGCAGUGAAAGUGUGCAGAAAAAGAUACUUAAAAAUGUGUGUUUAAUUGCAGAUAUUUUAACCUUAUAAUCUUUGAGACCGUUUGAUAUAGUCGGCAUGCCAUAGGAUUUGUGAGUACUCACCCUUGUGUUGUGUUUUUAGGGCAUUAAAGCCCGAAACAAUUUUGGAGAGAUAAGGAAAUGUGAGCUCAGCUCCAUUCACCGGGAUAUGUGUGUGUGUGUGUUAGAGAGUGUU
Molecule: long non-coding RNA, 1246 nt
Filed under: Gossypium barbadense (sea-island cotton)
Lineage: Eukaryota; Viridiplantae; Streptophyta; Magnoliopsida; Malvales; Malvaceae
Description: long non-coding RNA (GBAR_LNC021200)
Source: RNAcentral